This 253-nucleotide ribosomal RNA is filed under the name uncultured bacterium. Its description in RNAcentral is "partial 16S ribosomal RNA". It matches the Rfam family "Bacterial small subunit ribosomal RNA", at positions 524 to 776 of the family's 1533-position model. The record is from RNAcentral.
UACGGGGGGGGCAAGCGUUGUUCGGAAUUACUGGGCGUAAAGGGCUCGUAGGCGGCCAACUAAGUCAGACGUGAAAUCCCUCGGCUUAACCGGGGAACUGCGUCUGAUACUGGAUGGCUUGAGGUUGGGAGAGGGAUGCGGAAUUCCAGGUGUAGCGGUGAAAUGCGUAGAGAUCAGCAGGAACACCCGUGGCGAAGGCGGCCCCCUGGGCCGUACCUGACGCUGAGGCGCGAAGGCUAGGGGAGCGAACGGG